RNAcentral lists this ribosomal RNA (517 nucleotides) under Loma pacificodae. RNAcentral describes it as "SSU rRNA". It matches the Rfam family "Microsporidia small subunit ribosomal RNA", at positions 792 to 1304 of the family's 1311-position model. Lineage: Eukaryota; Fungi; Microsporidia; Glugeidae. The record is from RNAcentral.
GGAAGAACACCACAAGGAGUGGAGUGUGCGGCUUAAUUUGACUCAACGCGGGACAACUUACCGGGCCCGACGACCGUAAGAGUGUGACACACGAUAGGUCGAAGAGUGGUGCAUGGCCGUUAACGACGAGUGGAGUGAUCUUUGGGUUAAGUCCGUAAAUUAGUGAGACCUCAGCCGUAAGGGACAGGUGCGCAAAGCACAGGAAGGAUGGGUCAAGGACAGGUCAGUGAUGCCCUUAGAUGGUCCGGGCUGCACGCGCACUACAGUGGUCGCCGAAAUUAGCUGAUAAUUUUAAAGGCGAUCGAGAGGGAAUGAGCUUUGUAAGAGGCUCAGGAACGAGGAAUUGCUAGUAAUCGCGGACUCAUUAAGACGCGAUGAAUACGUCCCUGUUCUUUGUACACACCGCCCGUCGUUAUCGAAGAUGAAGACAGGCGCGAACGAUCUACCAGAAAGUGAGCGCAGUCUUUAGAUCUGAUACAAGUCGUAACAAGGUAGCUGUAGGUGAACCUGUAGCUGG